RNAcentral lists this long non-coding RNA (781 nucleotides) under Hordeum vulgare. Its description in RNAcentral is "long non-coding RNA (HVUL_LNC015136)". The record is from RNAcentral. Lineage: Eukaryota; Viridiplantae; Streptophyta; Magnoliopsida; Poales; Poaceae.
CCUUUUUGACACAACCCACCCAUGGUAAAAUCUACCCCAACACGCUUAGAUUUUCCAAACCAUCAUUCCAUCUUGCAGUGUUAAUGUCACAUUGCAGGCUUGUUUCUCCAACCAUAGGCUAGCUUGUAACAAUAACAACAACAUGGCAGCUUCUGAAUUUCGGAUCAUUUUGUAUGACUUAAUAUUUUAUCAUUAUGUGAUUACCAUCCUAUAUUAGCAAAUAGCAAGUGCCAACUGCCAAAUAGGCAACCUAAAUAUGACAGAGGGUCCAAUGAAAAUACCUAUACCCACAAGUGGAAACAAGAUCAUAUAUAUAACCUAUGAAGUAGAUAACAAACAGGAGAUGAUAGUGGCAUAGAUCAGUGCAGCAUAAAUCCUACGUCAAACAAACAGGAUUCAAAUAAAUACACGGGGAUCUACAGAAUUAUUAAGGGGUAAAAGAAAAAUUAGAGUCAUCAAAUCCCGUACCUUGAUUUCUCAUCUUCCCGCACAUAGUGGCCGAAACUGUACCUCCGCAGCUUUUACUUCAUAACAGGCUACAGCUUAAACUGUAAGCGAUGUUUGGCCCAGCUGCACUGCGGCCUGGACAGACAGCCCCCACCUCUCGCCCCAGGCUCCAGUGAAGCUACAAUUAUCCUCCAGUAUCCCCAUUUCCAACCGUCCUUCAUCUCCUACCUUUGGCAUCUCCAACAAACCACAUUACAUCUCCAUUCCUAUCUCAUCGUCUUGAUUUCCUUUAGGAAGAUCUUCGCCACAUCAUUUUUCUUUGUUAACUAAUCUG